RNAcentral lists this ribosomal RNA (609 nucleotides) under uncultured Pezizomycotina. RNAcentral describes it as "eukaryotic LSU rRNA". It matches the Rfam family "Eukaryotic large subunit ribosomal RNA", at positions 37 to 668 of the family's 3401-position model. Lineage: Eukaryota; Fungi; Ascomycota. The record is from RNAcentral.
UGCAUAUCAAUAAGGGAGGAAAAGAACCCACCAGGGAUUGCCUCAGUAACGGCGAGUGAAGCGGCAACAGCUCAAAUUUGAAAUCUGCCUUCAGGCCGAGUUGUAAUUUGUAGAAGAUGCUUCGGGUGUGGCACUGGUCUAAGUUCCUUGGAACAGGACGUCAUAGAGGGUGAGAAUCCCGUACGUGACUGGCUGCCUUCGCCCAUGUGAAGCUCUUUCGACGAGUCGAGUUGUUUGGGAAUGCAGCUCAAAAUGGGUGGUAUAUUUCAUCUAAAGCUAAAUAUUGGCCAGAGACCGAUAGCGCACAAGUAGAGUGAUCGAAAGAUGAAAAGCACUUUGGAAAGAGAGUUAAACAGUACGUGAAAUUGUUGAAAGGGAAGCGCUUGCAACCAGACUUGCGCGCCGUCGAUCAUCCGAGGUUUUCCCCGGUGCACUCGGCGGUGCUCAGGCCAGCAUCGGUUUCGGUGGUUGGAUAAAGGCCUUGGGAAUGUGGCUCCUCCGGGAGUGUUAUAGCCCUCGGUGCAAUGCAGCCUACCGGGACCGAGGACCGCGCUUCGGCUAGGAUGCUGGCGUAAUGGUUGUAAGCGACCCGUCUUGAAACACGGACCA